GGGGGGACGCAGUAGGAUAGGCGAAGCGUGCGAUUGGAUUGCACGUCUAAGCAGUAAGGCUGAGUAUUAGGCAAAUCCGGUACUCGUUAAGGCUGAGCUGUGAUGGGGAGAAGACAUUGUGUCUUCGAGUCGUUGAUUUCACACUGCCGAGAAAAGCCUCUAGAUAGAAAAUAGGUGCCCGUACCGCAAACCGACACAGGUAGUCAAGAUGAGAAUUCUAAGGUGAGCGAGCGAACUCUCGUUAAGGAACUCGGCAAAAUGACCCCGUAACUUCGGGUGAAGGGGGGCGCUUUAGGGGUAGCGCGCAGAAGAGCCGCAGUGAAUAGGCCCAAGCGACUGUUGAUCAAAAACACAGGUCGAUGCGAAACCGUAGGGGGAAGGAUAGGGGAUGACGCAGGCCCGGUGACGGAAGGUGGAGAGGAGUGGUUAGCCUCUGCGAAGCCACGAAUCGAAGCACAAGUAAACGGCGGCCGUAACUAUAAAGGUCCUAAGGUAG
This 496-nucleotide ribosomal RNA is filed under the name Staphylococcus aureus. RNAcentral's name for it is "partial 23S ribosomal RNA". It matches the Rfam family "Bacterial large subunit ribosomal RNA", at positions 1466 to 1959 of the family's 2925-position model. The record is from RNAcentral. Lineage: Bacteria; Bacillati; Bacillota; Bacilli; Caryophanales; Staphylococcaceae.